Molecule: long non-coding RNA, 2319 nt
Organism: Pogona vitticeps (central bearded dragon)
Lineage: Eukaryota; Metazoa; Chordata; Lepidosauria; Squamata; Agamidae
Source: Ensembl
AUGUGGAGGGGGGGCAAGAUCCCACCCGUAGGGAUAGGUAGACACUCUGCCCCCCCCCAAAUGACCCACCAGAGCAAGGUACCUGUGGAUGUUUCUAUGUGUGUUUGUGAGGCUGAUCCUCCUUCGCAUCUCCUGCAAGUGGAUAAAGGAUUUGGGGGGGGGGAGGAGGUUUCCAUCAUCCUUCUCCCUCUCAGUCCUCCCCCUCCUCAUCCUUCCUUCCUGAAUGACACGCAAGGGGGGGGGAAAUGUCCGAGUGCGUGUCCAGGAAGGGAGGGAUCCUGCCCGCCUGGAGGGGUGCAAAAGGGGGGGGCAGGAGAAGGGAAACCAGCCUGGCUUUCUGCCCUUCCUUUCCUCCUCUGGCCAAAGCCUGGGGGGCGACUGGAGGGGGCUUCGGUUUCCCUGGGUGGAGAGGAGCCCUGGCAGGGGGGCAGGAAAGAGGGGGCCAGGGCCUUAGGGAGGGAGGAAGGCAAGGCAGUGGGAAAGGGGGUUNNNNNNNNNNNNNNNNNNNNNNNNNNNNNNNNNNNNNNNNNNNNNNNNNNNNNGCAGUGCAGUGGGAAAGGGGUUUGGGGAAGAAGAAGGAGGGGAAGGGGGCAAGCAAAAGGGGCCCCUCCUCUGGGAGGUGUCCUGGACGACAUUGUCUUAUUGCACAGGCACCGUUGCCAGAUCAAAAUCUUAAGGGGCUCUCGAUUCAGUUGCAUUUUUCCAGACGAUCUGUCAGAGAUAAAAGCAAACCAGAUCCAUCUCAAGCUCUCUCCAAAGGAGGGGGUGAAACGGAGCUGAUUUGUUUUUCUCCGGACCAGAAGAGACUAAUCUAAUUCAAAAUCCCUCUAGCAUUUGCAAGGCAGGUAAGAAGAUUUCUUUCUUUUAAAUCAGAGGUACAGUUAGUAAGAUGCAAGGCAUUGCAAAGCUUAGGUAAGUAAGUCAGUUAAUUUUUGCCCAGUAACUUCAAGAGCAUUUGGAGGAGCCACCACCAGAACACCCAUGACAGAUGCUGAGGGACAGAGAGGAUGGUGAGAUGAUUGUGAUGUUGCCUAUUUCUCUCAACGUGAGCAACAAAAUUCCCAUAUUUUUGCAGUUCACUUUGCUUCUGUCAACUUCAGUCUUCAGCCUCCUGAGUGACUUCCAUGUAGCUCAGUGGUCCAUGUGACCAGGGUCUGGACUUUCCUGAUUUCUGAUUCAUCCCUAAGAGGUGUGUAGUUCUUUUCUCUGUCAUUAUAGUUCUCGCAUUCUCUGUUGUCUCCUUUAAAAAUCACAGAUUUUUUAAAAAACUGUUCCUAGAUUUUAAUGUGGAUAGAAGAAGAAGACUAACAAAGAAUAUAUACAGAUUCAAGGUAGAUACUCUUGAGUCCUUCAUUCUUAACAGCUGCGUCUCUACAUGAGUGGGUGCCAUGUCUGUUUGGUCAUCACCCUUGAUCAAGAGGGAUGGACUUCAGGCCUCCAGAUAUGACUCCCCAGCUUUCCUGGAGUGCUCGCUCUGCCUCUUCCCCAUGGGCCGGACUAUACCCAACUAGGCGGGAGUCUUCACCUCCAGGGUAGCCUCAAGUCAAGGGUGUCAUUCUUGGUGUUCGUGGUUGGGUGACCCCAACUGGUUCCUGAUACUGUCGAGGAAAUGUUCUUUCCUAUGGAGACUUGGUUUGUAAAAGAGUUGUUCCAGAGGCACCAGUGUAAGGUGAUAUGUCGAAGGAGUGUAUGAAGUACUCUUCGCCCUUCUCACCAACCACCACAUACACACCAUGAGAUUCUCUUGGCCAGUAAGGGUUCAAAUCCAGAUUGCCUGGGUCUCAGCUUGAAUAUCUACUACGCUACCCUCUCUGAACCUUUACAGAGUGUUUUUCUUAUUGCUCCCAGUCCUACAUCCACCGAAACAGAAGCUAGACUGCUGGAACCGUGGUUUCUGUUCCAGAAGCCUAACUUUGGCUCGGAUCCAUAGGGAGGGCUUCCCUUUGGACAAACCUGACUAAGGCAAUUCCCCCCGUUGUCUUAGAAAAGGAGGGGGAAGAGUGUUGUGUGGGCAGAACAAGAAGUUCAGACAAUAGUGGAGGAGUCCAUAUACUAGUGGAUCAGGCAGUUAAGACACAACCUGCAAACAGUAUUCAGGCCCACCACAAAAAUACAACAAAUGUUACGGUCAGCAAAGGAUAAAAGGGACCCCCUCGCCACUGCAGGAGUACACCGGAUACCUUACAGUUGUUGCCAGGUAAAUAUUGGAACCACAAAACACAGCAUCCACACCAGAAUCAAAGAAGAGACACUGCAGACUAAAACAACCAGAUAAAACACAAUAAUAAAUAAAAGAUAUUGCUAGAAGACUUUUUAAAA